RNAcentral lists this ribosomal RNA (591 nucleotides) under uncultured Acidobacteriota bacterium. RNAcentral describes it as "bacterial SSU rRNA". It matches the Rfam family "Bacterial small subunit ribosomal RNA", at positions 338 to 942 of the family's 1533-position model. The record is from RNAcentral. Lineage: Bacteria; Pseudomonadati; Acidobacteriota.
CCUACGGGAGGCAGCAGUGGGGAAUUUUGGGCAAUGGGGGCAACCCUGACCCAGCAACGCCGCGUGGAGGAUGAAGGUUUUCGGGUCGUAAACUCCUGUCUGGAGGGACGAAUAAAGUGACGGUACCUCUGGAGGAAGCCCCGGCUAACUCCGUGCCAGCAGCCGCGGUAAUACGGGGGGGGCAAGCGUUGUUCGGAAUUACUGGGCGUAAAGGGCGCGUAGGCGGCACAGGAAGUCAUGGGUGAAAUCCCUCGGCUUAACCGGGGAAUGGCCUGUGAAACCACUGUGCUAGAGUGCUGGAGAGGAAAGUGGAGUUCCUAGUGUAGCGGUGAAAUGCGUAGAUAUUAGGAGGAACACCUGAGGCGAAGGCGGCUUUCUGGACAGACACUGACGCUGAGGCGCGAAAGCCAGGGGAGCAAACGGGAUUAGAUACCCCGGUAGUCCUGGCUGUAAACGAUGAGCACUUGGUGUAGGGGGUGCACUCAGUCCCUCUGUGCCGAAGAAAACUCGGUAAGUGCUCCGCCUGGGGAGUACGGCCGCAAGGCUGAAACUCAAAGGAAUGACGGAAUCGUCGACUGCAGGAAAACAGCC